RNAcentral lists this unclassified non-coding RNA (626 nucleotides) under Hevea brasiliensis (rubber tree). The record is from RNAcentral. Lineage: Eukaryota; Viridiplantae; Streptophyta; Magnoliopsida; Malpighiales; Euphorbiaceae.
GCAAAAGUUGCAGCAUUAUGAUAAUAAACCAGUUUGGCAUUGAGGUUCGAGGCACCAAACUGCUUUUCAAGGAAAAAAAAUGUACUAUUUUAGAUGCUGUCUGAACAAGUUGUUUUUUCAUUUUAGUAUUCUUAUGACUAAAUCUUAUCAAAUUUAAUUUUAAAUCAUUUUUUAAUACUCUCUAACUAAUCUAUUUAAAAAAAUAAUUUUCUCAAUAUCAGUUCAAUAGCAAUGGCAAAAAGAUCUUUAUGCUAAUAGUGUUGACAACUGAUUGAUGUUAAUUGUUUUGUCUCCCCAUGCCAUUCAUUUUCCUAAUAAUACCAUUCAUUGGUUUGGCUCCCAUUUGAGUUGAAAAUCUUGAGCAACAACUGCUAUUUCUGCUAUACACUGUUAGUUAAUGAUCAUCUCAAUGGCUGGAAAGGUGAGAAUCUUUACACCUUCCAUGUGUAAGAAAAGACAUGGUCAACUUCGAUAUAGAAAUUGCUUUCAGGAUAAGGUAGAUCCAAAUGAAAGGGAUUGGAGAGAUUGGAAUCCAAGGUGGAUGAACUAUUGCCACUGCUUUUAUACAGUUCUGCUAGUUGAGCAAAUUAUCCAAUGUAGAAUUUUUCAUGAUAAACGAAUAAUUA